GGCUCAGAACGAACGCUGGCGGCAUGCCUUACACAUGCAAGUCGAGCGGCAGCGCGGGGGCAACCCUGGCGGCGAGCGGCGCACGGGUGAGUAAUGCAUCGGAACGUGUCCUCUUGUGGGGGAUAACCAGUCGAAAGACUGGCUAAUACCGCAUGAGCUCGCGAGAGGAAAGCAGGGGACCCGCAAGGGCCUUGCGCGAGAGGAGCGGCCGAUGCCGGAUUAGCUAGUUGGUGGGGUAAAAGCCCACCAAGGCGACGAUCCGUAGCUGGUCUGAGAGGACGACCAGCCACACUGGGACUGAGACACGGACCAGACUCCUACGGGUUGGCAGCAGUGG
RNAcentral lists this ribosomal RNA (337 nucleotides) under uncultured beta proteobacterium. Its description in RNAcentral is "bacterial SSU rRNA". It matches the Rfam family "Bacterial small subunit ribosomal RNA", at positions 21 to 357 of the family's 1533-position model. Lineage: Bacteria; Pseudomonadati; Pseudomonadota; Betaproteobacteria. The record is from RNAcentral.